RNAcentral lists this long non-coding RNA (318 nucleotides) under Parus major (Great Tit). RNAcentral describes it as "lncRNA (ENSPMJG00000005873.1)". Lineage: Eukaryota; Metazoa; Chordata; Aves; Passeriformes; Paridae. The record is from RNAcentral.
GCAGGGCUAGAAGAACAAAGGCCUUGAGCAGUAAGUGCUGGUGACAAGAGCCUGCAGGACAGGAUGUGCUGCACUCCCCCAGCACCUCUGCUCCCUGUUGCAUCCCUUGAGUAACGAUGGUGACCUUCACCCUGAAGUCGAAUCCUGCCCCAGCCCAGCACCAGGCAGCAAUAAUCAAAGCAGAAACAAACAGGGGACAGCCUGCAGCUGCUGGGCAGGGCUGUGUGAGGCUGUGGGUGUUCCUGGGCUGCUGGAGGUGAGCUCAGCCCCUGCUGUCUCCAGCUCCAUCAUUCCCACUGGGAUGGGGAUGGGAUGGGG